AGUGAACGCUGGCGGCGUGCUUAACACACGCAAGUCGAACGAGAACGGAAUAUAGCUUGCUAUAUUUGUCAGCUAAGUGGCGCACGGGUGAGUAAUGUAUAGAUAACCUGCCCUUAAGAGAGGAAUAACAGUUGGAAACGACUGCUAAUGCCCUAUAUGCCUUUAAUACAUAAGUAUGCAAGGGAAACGCUUUAGUGCUUAAGGAUGGGUCUGUAUGGUAUCAGCUUGUUGGUGAGGUAAUGGCUCACCAAGGCUAUGACGCCUAACUGGUUUGAGAGGAUGAUCAGUCACACUGGAACUGAGACACGGUCCAGACUCCUACGGGAGGCAGCAGUGGGGAAUAUUGCACAAUGGACGAAAGUCCGAUGCAGCAACGCCGCGUGGAGGAUGACACAUUUCGGUGCGUAAACUCCUUUUAUAUAGGAAGAUAAUGACGGUACUAUAUGAAUAAGCACCGGCUAACUCCGUGCCAGCAGCCGCAGUAA
Molecule: ribosomal RNA, 485 nt
Filed under: uncultured bacterium
Lineage: Bacteria
Description: partial 16S ribosomal RNA
Rfam family: Bacterial small subunit ribosomal RNA
Source: RNAcentral